Molecule: long non-coding RNA, 749 nt
Filed under: Cyanistes caeruleus (blue tit)
Lineage: Eukaryota; Metazoa; Chordata; Aves; Passeriformes; Paridae
Description: lncRNA (ENSCCEG00000021311.1)
Source: RNAcentral
AAAAUAUCAGAUGGCAUUGGGUCUGUGUGGAAUCCACAGGACUUGAGAGAAAGCUGUAGUGCUAGUGGGGCUGUACCAGCUUAUAUCAGGGGAAACUUGCCUACUUGACGCAAGGGGAACACAAGGAAUUUUUGAGAAAAACAAAAAUAUAACAGAACUCUGAGACUCCUUUCCAAUAUUUCAUUUGUCGGCUUUCAAACGUCAUCAUGGGAGCAAUGAGACAAGAAAAGAGUCUUUUCUUCCUUCAAGGUCUGCAGUGAACACUGUAAAGCCAUGCACAAUGGAUUUGGAAGAAGCUUUAUCUAUUAUGACAAUUUUACAGGACUGUUCUGUAAAAGGUUGCACUAAGGAGAUAGGUGCUUUGAAGAAAAUUCUAUCCUCAGGUAACUAUUCCUGUAAAUGCAAUUACUUUUUUUCUUUAUAUCACUCCUAUAUCAUUUGAUGUUAUGAGCUGAUUUAUUUUAUUUUUUGAUAGUCAAGCCUUAUCCUAAAGAAUAGCGCAAAGUAAUCCAGGAGAAGACGAAGACCUCAUAAUCCUUUUUGCACCCACCUGAAUGAAUGCUGAUUAGGAACCUGUGCAGUGAUGUUAUCCUGAUUGGUGGGAAAUUGGUGAAGGAAACAGCCAAUUUUCAAUCAACGUAAUUGGUUGCUCAGGAGGUUUGAAAUCUCAAGAAAAAAGCAUUGCAUCUUCUGCAGCUGUGUUACAAGAUUUUUCUGGAAUAGCAAAUAAAUUGUUGAUAAGAACUGCA